UUGACCUCAAAUCAAGCAAGACUACCCGCUGAACUUAAGCAUAUCAAUAAGCGGAGGAAAAGAAACUAACAAGGAUUCCCCUAGUAACUGCGAGUGAAGCGGGAAAAGCUCAAAUUUAAAAUCUGGCAGUGGUUUCACUGCCCGAGUUGUAAUCUAGAGAAGUGUUGCUCACACUGGACCAUGUAUAAGUCUUCUGGAAUGAAGCGUCAUAGAGGGUGAGAAUCCCGUCUUUGACAUGGACUACCAGUGUAUUUGUAGCAUGCUCUCAAAGAGUCG
RNAcentral lists this ribosomal RNA (276 nucleotides) under Amanita javanica. RNAcentral's name for it is "partial 28S ribosomal RNA". It matches the Rfam family "Eukaryotic large subunit ribosomal RNA", at positions 1 to 267 of the family's 3401-position model. RNAcentral also lists the same sequence under 1 other name. The record is from RNAcentral. Lineage: Eukaryota; Fungi; Basidiomycota; Agaricomycetes; Agaricales; Amanitaceae.